Long non-coding RNA from Etheostoma spectabile (orangethroat darter), 755 nucleotides. RefSeq lists it as uncharacterized. The transcript has 3 exons. The record is from RefSeq and is a predicted model, not a curated record. NCBI's taxonomy places the organism in Eukaryota, Metazoa, Chordata, Actinopteri, Perciformes, Percidae.
CUGUGCUGUGCAAAGUUUGUUGCAGUGUUGUGUGUAUUGCUACACAGCCAUUAUUAUUAUGACCGCCUGUGCCACAACCUUGACACCUCCUAGAGGCUUGUAACAACUCGGUGUUCAAUUUUUAAAAGGAUCAUCACUAUAAAAUAAACAGGAGAAAGUCAGUAGAAUGUAAGAUUAUAACAGUGCCUUGGCAUUUAUUUAUGUGAAGCCAACAGUAAUUAUUAUCACUAUUAUUGUCUAGUUUAUUUCCAAAAGCCUUCUGAGUCAGGGCUUUGACUGUAACUGCUUAUUUAUCAAAAUAUAUUUAUUGCUGAUCCUAAGUAUUUUUAUUUUGUAUUUAUCUGGGUAAUGAAAAAAUAGAAUAUAUAUUUUCUUUCAUGUGAAAUUAUGAUCUUCCGUAUUAAUCAAAUAAUACCUUUUUAACAGUUAAUACAUUAUACUGCAAUGAAAUGUUUUGUAACAUUUUGAAAGUGAAUCUUAAUUUAAGACACAAAUGUUAAGCUUUUUUUAUUUGUUUGCUCCUCCCACAUGUAGGACUGCAGGGUUAAGGUUCUCUGAUGCAGUCUGAAGGCACAAAUGCACUGGAAGUGUCAAUAUCCUAGAGACAGCUAGAGUAUGCUAGAGACAAGUGUUGUCUUUUCAGUGGGGGGUUUUGCAGCUGACAUCAAGUUCAAAUGAUGAAAAAAGUUAAUGUAAGUAAUUGCAAACUGAUCAGGUAAUUAAGCUAGUGCCAUACAGUUGUUAAGCGUGUGGAC